RNAcentral lists this ribosomal RNA (1143 nucleotides) under Enterobacter asburiae. RNAcentral describes it as "bacterial SSU rRNA". It matches the Rfam family "Bacterial small subunit ribosomal RNA", at positions 32 to 1176 of the family's 1533-position model. The record is from RNAcentral. Lineage: Bacteria; Pseudomonadati; Pseudomonadota; Gammaproteobacteria; Enterobacterales; Enterobacteriaceae.
AGCGAUGGCGGAGGCUACCAUGCAAGUCGAGCGGUAGCACAGAGAGCUUGCUCUCGGGUGACGAGCGGCGGACGGGUGAGUAAUGUCUGGGAAACUGCCUGAUGGAGGGGGAUAACUACUGGAAACGGUAGCUAAUACCGCAUAACGUCGCAAGACCAAAGAGGGGGACCUUCGGGCCUCUUGCCAUCAGAUGUGCCCAGAUGGGAUUAGCUAGUAGGUGGGGUAACGGCUCACCUAGGCGACGAUCCCUAGCUGGUCUGAGAGGAUGACCAGCCACACUGGAACUGAGACACGGUCCAGACUCCUACGGGAGGCAGCAGUGGGGAAUAUUGCACAAUGGGCGCAAGCCUGAUGCAGCCAUGCCGCGUGUAUGAAGAAGGCCUUCGGGUUGUAAAGUACUUUCAGCGGGGAGGAAGGUGCUGAGGUUAAUAACCUCAGCAAUUGACGUUACCCGCAGAAGAAGCACCGGCUAACUCCGUGCCAGCAGCCGCGGUAAUACGGAGGGUGCAAGCGUUAAUCGGAAUUACUGGGCGUAAAGCGCACGCAGGCGGUCUGUCAAGUCGGAUGUGAAAUCCCCGGGCUCAACCUGGGAACUGCAUUCGAAACUGGCAGGCUAGAGUCUUGUAGAGGGGGGUAGAAUUCCAGGUGUAGCGGUGAAAUGCGUAGAGAUCUGGAGGAAUACCGGUGGCGAAGGCGGCCCCCUGGACAAAGACUGACGCUCAGGUGCGAAAGCGUGGGGAGCAAACAGGAUUAGAUACCCUGGUAGUCCACGCCGUAACGAUGUCGACUUGGAGGUUGUGCCCUUGAGGCGUGGCUUCCGGAGCUAACGCGUUAAGUCGACCGCCUGGGGAGUACGGCCGCAAGGUUAAAACUCAAAUGAAUUGACGGGGGCCCGCACAAGCGGUGGAGCAUGUGGUUUAAUUCGAUGCAACGCGAAGAACCUUACCUACUCUUGACAUCCAGAGAACUUACCAGAGAUGCAUUUGGUGCCUUCGGGAACUCUGAGACAGGUGCUGCAUGGCUGUCGUCAGCUCGUGUGUGAAAUGUUGGGUUAAGUCCCGCAACGAGCGCACCCUUAUCCUUUGUGCCAGCGGUCCGGCCGGACUCAAGGGAGACUGCCAGUGAUAAACUGGAAGGAAGUUG